Long non-coding RNA from Homo sapiens (human), 302 nucleotides. RefSeq lists it as uncharacterized. NCBI's taxonomy places the organism in Eukaryota, Metazoa, Chordata, Mammalia, Primates, Hominidae. The record is from RefSeq and is a predicted model, not a curated record. The transcript has 3 exons.
ACAUGGAUUCUGGCUCUGGUAAUGGACAGGGAGCAGUCCCUGGAGACAGGGCCACACUUACCCUAAUGACAGUCUCCGGGGUCUUCAUCCAGCCUGAGCACCCUGCAUGGAGCCCGGCCUGAAGUGCUCCAGCUCAGAGGAGGAGGAGGGAGAGGCAGGCACCUUCUGUCCAACAGGAAGAAGGAACCCAAGACUGAAGACCCACAGCUAAAGAUGAUGAAACUAAGACUAAGAGAAGUUCACCAACUUGUCCAAGGCCACAACUCACAGUGGAAUCUGAACUCGGCUCCAUAUGACUCGAG